AUCUCGAGAAAUAAUUGCUCAUAUCUAUUUGUUUUACAUCAUGACAACUUAUUUCAUCAAUGCUUACUGUUAACCAAAGUUGUUUUCUAUUUAUUUUUUUAUUCAUUUGAUUUAUUUUGCGUAAAUUUACACUGUUAUCACUGGUUUAAAAAAUGUUUACAUUUUAAGAACGUGGAGGUAGUCAAAAUUGACCCCCAAUAUUUCCUUUGUCGUGGACCGACAUCAAAAUUUUAUUGUCUAGUCUAAUGUAUAUAUGAAUGAUCUAUGUUAGGAUAUACAAUGUUUUAUAUGUCGCUCCUUAUUUAAUAUAGUAAAAGCACCCCAGAUUUUUUAUCAUAAUUCUAUCAACAAUUAGCAUGUGCUCUGGCCUACUAUUGCAUAUAUUUGACAUAAAACAAAGGUUUAAUGUUUCUAUACUGUUUGUAUUUUGCUGUCCAUGCAAUCAUCAUAAAAGCUGAAAAGGGGAAGGGAUUAAAACCCCUGUGUAUUUAUUUUGUUUUAUUAUGAUUCCCCUAGCUGGUACCUUAAUUUCCUUCCACUUUACCCAGCAUAAUAUUUACAUGAUAGCGUGAGUCUAACAUGUAAUUUUCAUGAAGGCUUGUGGAAGUGAAUCCCACCACUAUACAGAUGUUUAGCAGUUAGAGGUGGUGCUACUUUGGCUUUUCCAUCGUUCAUUGCAUAAAUUUCAUAAAAUUUACCAGGAUACCGAAAACAAAUCCCCUGUAUUAAAGACAUGAUGGUCAGCCAAAAGAGAGCAUGGAAGCCCAACAGGAACAACCCCUCAACAGCCCAUUUAUAGGGUCUGAAGUGUACCAGUGUACCAGUUUCUCUUUGACCUGUGCCAACUCUGGUAAACCCGCCUUUGACAAGGACACAUGUACUUGUCGCUGUCCGGAGGGUCUGGAUCUCUCUACCGGAUGUCCGACUCAUUUUGAUGGGGGAUCGAAUGAUUUCAACAAAAUGGCCGUCUGACACCUUUACCAGAUUAAGUACCUGGAUACAUGUAACUGGCUGUCCCAGUGGGUUUUUAUGAAGGCAGUUUUACACAUCAUAUUAAAGACACCAGGAUGGACCACACAAGUUCCACAUUUAAUGCUGACAUCAAGCCCACCUCUACAUUUUAAAAAUUUUUUGCUUAGAAGAAAACGGAAGAAAAUAGAAUUUCGCCAAGCUGGCCUGCAGGAAAAUAUUGUAUCUACCGCCAAGGAGGGGUUUGUCCUAUCGGCUUCAGUGGUGGAUAUAUACAGUAUGAUGACACCAUGAAUCCAUAGCAUUCAGAUAUUCUCGGCAUUCUUCAACUUAAAGGAGCUGUUUAUCUUAUUUCCGGACACCUCUGCUUGACAGAAUGCAAAGUUUUGAUGGCAAUGCAGAGUCAAGAUAUUGUGACAAAGACAUGCCAGCUUGAAGAAGACCAUCCAGUGAUCAUGGUGUUCCACUCAAUUUUUCAGAAUUAUGUGUCAGAUUGAAAUUCAUCUUAUGGUGCACAAAACAAUCAGGAUAUUCUUCUGGAUCUAGUCCAAAGUAUUGACAGAACCAAAGAAUACCUGAUAGUCUGCAAAUGGAGUGAUCAUUCUGAUUGGAUGAACCAGACAACACUGAUUAUCUCAAGAAAUUUUAGGCUAGAGACUCCAUCUUCAUUCAUAAAUGAUUGAUGU
This is a long non-coding RNA of Saccostrea cuccullata (small rock oyster), 1655 nucleotides long. RefSeq lists it as uncharacterized. The transcript is spliced from 7 exons. The record is from RefSeq and is a predicted model, not a curated record. NCBI's taxonomy places the organism in Eukaryota, Metazoa, Mollusca, Bivalvia, Ostreida, Ostreidae.